GUCGGAGUGGCGGAAUAGGCAGACGCGCACGUUUGAGGGGCGUGUGGGGUAACCCGUGGGGGUUCAAGUCCCCCCUCCGACACCA
Molecule: transfer RNA, 85 nt
Filed under: Peptococcaceae bacterium
Lineage: Bacteria; Bacillati; Bacillota; Clostridia; Eubacteriales; Peptococcaceae
Also listed under: 1 other name
Description: tRNA-Leu
Rfam family: tRNA
About the family: Transfer RNA (tRNA) molecules are approximately 80 nucleotides in length. Their secondary structure includes four short double-helical elements and three loops (D, anti-codon, and T loops). Further hydrogen bonds mediate the characteristic L-shaped molecular structure. tRNAs have two regions of fundamental functional importance: the anti-codon, which is responsible for specific mRNA codon recognition, and the 3' end, to which the tRNAs corresponding amino acid is attached (by aminoacyl-tRNA synthetases). tRNAs cope with the degeneracy of the genetic code in two manners: having more than one tRNA (with a specific anti-codon) for a particular amino acid; and 'wobble' base-pairing, i.e. permitting non-standard base-pairing at the 3rd anti-codon position.
Source: RNAcentral